UACGGGAGGCAGCAGUGGGGAAUAUUGGACAAUGGGCGGAAGCCUGAUCCAGCAACGCCGCGUGAGGGAUGACGGCCUUCGGGUUGUAAACCUCUUUCAGUACCGACGAAGCGCAAGUGACGGUAGGUACAGAAGAAGCACCGGCCAACUACGUGCCAGCAGCCGCGGUAAUACGUAGGGUGCGAGCGUUGUCCGGAAUUAUUGGGCGUAAAGGGCUCGUAGGCGGUUUGUCGCGUCGGGAGUGAAAACACCGGGCUUAACUCGGUGCUUGCUUCCGAUACGGGCAGACUAGAGGCAUUCAGGGGAGAACGGAAUUCCUGGUGUAGCGGUGAAGUGCGCAGAUAUCAGGAGGAACACCGGUGGCGAAGGCGGUUCUCUGGGAAUGUCCUGACGCUGAGGAGCGAAAGUGUGGGGAGCGAACAGGAUUAGAUACCCUGGUAGUCCACACCGUAAACGUUGGGCGCUAGGUGUGGGGCCUAUUCCAUGGGUUCCGUGCCGUAGCUAACGCAUUAAGCGCCCCGCCUGGGGAGUACGGCCGCAAGGCUAAAACUCAAAGGAAUUGACGG
This 566-nucleotide ribosomal RNA is filed under the name uncultured Nocardioides sp. RNAcentral's name for it is "bacterial SSU rRNA". It matches the Rfam family "Bacterial small subunit ribosomal RNA", at positions 340 to 916 of the family's 1533-position model. The record is from RNAcentral. Lineage: Bacteria; Bacillati; Actinomycetota; Actinomycetes; Propionibacteriales; Nocardioidaceae.